This 621-nucleotide ribosomal RNA is filed under the name uncultured Flavobacteriales bacterium. RNAcentral's name for it is "bacterial SSU rRNA". It matches the Rfam family "Bacterial small subunit ribosomal RNA", at positions 96 to 716 of the family's 1533-position model. The record is from RNAcentral. Lineage: Bacteria; Pseudomonadati; Bacteroidota; Flavobacteriia; Flavobacteriales.
CGGCGCACGGGUGCGUAACGCGUAUGCAAUCUGCCUUCCACAGAGGGAUAGCCCAGAGAAAUUUGGAUUAAUACCUCAUAGCAUUACAGGAUGGCAUCAUCCGGGUAAUUAAAGUCACAACGGUGGAAGAUGAGCAUGCGUCCCAUUAGCUAGUUGGUAAGGUAACGGCUUACCAAGGCGACGAUGGGUAGGGGUCCUGAGAGGGAGAUCCCCCACACUGGUACUGAGACACGGACCAGACUCCUACGGGAGGCAGCAGUGAGGAAUAUUGGUCAAUGGGCGCAAGCCUGAACCAGCCAUGCCGCGUGCAGGAUGACGGUCCUAUGGAUUGUAAACUGCUUUUGUACGGGAAGAAACACUGAUUCGUGAAUCAGCCUGACGGUACCGUAAGAAUAAGGAUCGGCUAACUCCGUGCCAGCAGCCGCGGUAAUACGGAGGAUCCAAGCGUUAUCCGGAAUCAUUGGGUUUAAAGGGUCUGUAGGCGGUCUUGUAAGUCAGUGGUGAAGCCCAUCGCUCAACGGUGGACGGCCAUUGAUACUGCAGGACUUGAAUUACCGGGAAGUAACUAGAAUAUGUAGUGUAGCGGUGAAAUGCUUAGAUAUUACAUGGAAUACCAAUUGC